Molecule: ribosomal RNA, 1293 nt
Filed under: Salmonella enterica subsp. enterica
Lineage: Bacteria; Pseudomonadati; Pseudomonadota; Gammaproteobacteria; Enterobacterales; Enterobacteriaceae
Description: partial 23S ribosomal RNA
Rfam family: Bacterial large subunit ribosomal RNA
Source: RNAcentral
UUCCAGGUAAAUCCGGUUCACUUUAACACUGAGGCGUGAUGACGAGGCACUACGGUGCUGAAGCAACAAAUGCCCUGCUUCCAGGAAAAGCCUCUAAGCAUCAGGUAACAUCAAAUCGUACCCCAAACCGACACAGGUGGUCAGGUAGAGAAUACCAAGGCGCUUGAGAGAACUCGGGUGAAGGAACUAGGCAAAAUGGUGCCGUAACUUCGGGAGAAGGCACGCUGACACGUAGGUGAAGUGAUUUACUCAUGGAGCUGAAGUCAGUCGAAGAUACCAGCUGGCUGCAACUGUUUAUUAAAAACACAGCACUGUGCAAACACGAAAGUGGACGUAUACGGUGUGACGCCUGCCCGGUGCCGGAAGGUUAAUUGAUGGGGUCAGCGCAAGCGAAGCUCCUGAUCGAAGCCCCGGUAAACGGCGGCCGUAACUAUAACGGUCCUAAGGUAGCGAAAUUCCUUGUCGGGUAAGUUCCGACCUGCACGAAUGGCGUAAUGAUGGCCAGGCUGUCUCCACCCGAGACUCAGUGAAAUUGAACUCGCUGUGAAGAUGCAGUGUACCCGCGGCAAGACGGAAAGACCCCGUGAACCUUUACUAUAGCUUGACACUGAACAUUGAGCCUUGAUGUGUAGGAUAGGUGGGAGGCUUUGAAGCGUGGACGCCAGUCUGCGUGGAGCCGACCUUGAAAUACCACCCUUUAAUGUUUGAUGUUCUAACGUGGACCCGUAAUCCGGGUUGCGGACAGUGUCUGGUGGGUAGUUUGACUGGGGCGGUCUCCUCCUAAAGAGUAACGGAGGAGCACGAAGGUUGGCUAAUCCUGGUCGGACAUCAGGAGGUUAGUGCAAUGGCAUAAGCCAGCUUGACUGCGAGCGUGACGGCGCGAGCAGGUGCGAAAGCAGGUCAUAGUGAUCCGGUGGUUCUGAAUGGAAGGGCCAUCGCUCAACGGAUAAAAGGUACUCCGGGGAUAACAGGCUGAUACCGCCCAAGAGUUCAUAUCGACGGCGGUGUUUGGCACCUCGAUGUCGGCUCAUCACAUCCUGGGGCUGAAGUAGGUCCCAAGGGUAUGGCUGUUCGCCAUUUAAAGUGGUACGCGAGCUGGGUUUAGAACGUCGUGAGACAGUUCGGUCCCUAUCUGCCGUGGGCGCUGGAGAACUGAGGGGGGCUGCUCCUAGUACGAGAGGACCGGAGUGGACGCAUCACUGGUGUUCGGGUUGUCAUGCCAAUGGCACUGCCCGGUAGCUAAAUGCGGAAGAGAUAAGUGCUGAAAGCAUCUAAGCACGAAACUUGCCCCGA